CUCUCUACUCUCCAUACUCUAAAUUUUUUAGGCAACUGAAAGGGUCUUUGGGUAGAACCUUCAUGCAAUUAUGCUCAUAAUAGAGAGCUUCAUGAUAAGCUAGAUUCAUCGUACAUUGGGGAUGAUUUUGCCUUAUACGAGAAGCAAAAUUUAUUCCUGGAUUAAUAUUUAUGCACACCUCACUCUAAGCAUUCUUCUCCAAUUUUUCUUGUAU
Molecule: long non-coding RNA, 214 nt
Filed under: Elaeis guineensis (African oil palm)
Lineage: Eukaryota; Viridiplantae; Streptophyta; Magnoliopsida; Arecales; Arecaceae
Description: long non-coding RNA (EGUI_LNC073959)
Source: RNAcentral